CAGUAGCGUAUAUUAAAGUUGUUGCAGUUAAAAAGCUCGUAGUUGGAUUUCUGGUACAACGCGCCUGGCCCGCUUACGUGAGUGCCGGUGCGCGUUUGCCAUCCUUCUAGAAAACGUCUCUACUCGGGCAACUGAGCCGGAUUCGCGAUCUAGAUCUUUUUACUUUUUGAAAAAAUUAGAGUGUUUAAAGCAGGCUAUUGCCUUGAAUACAUUAGCAUGGAAUAAUAAUCUAGGACUUCGGUUCUAUUUUUGUUGGUUUCUAGUACUGAAGUAAUGAUUGAUAGGGAUAGUUGGGGGUGCUAGUAUUGACCGGCCAGAGGUGAAAUUCUUGGAUUCGGUCAAGACUAACU
This 350-nucleotide ribosomal RNA is filed under the name uncultured eukaryote. Its description in RNAcentral is "SSU rRNA". It matches the Rfam family "Eukaryotic small subunit ribosomal RNA", at positions 592 to 941 of the family's 1831-position model. The record is from RNAcentral.